GUGCAAGGCCAUGUGUGUGGAGACAGGUAUGACUGUGCUUCGCAGGGGUGCAAUGGAGCUCACCCGCGAGGACUACAUGGAGGGCAUCUUAGAGAUAGAGGCCAAGAAGAAAGGCAACCUGCAGAUCUGAAGAGAGACGUGGAGGGAAAGAG
Non-coding RNA from Peromyscus maniculatus bairdii (prairie deer mouse), 152 nucleotides. NCBI's taxonomy places the organism in Eukaryota, Metazoa, Chordata, Mammalia, Rodentia, Cricetidae. The record is from RefSeq and is a predicted model, not a curated record.